CAUGAAAAUAAACCUUUAUUUCAGUUAACACCCACCAAUAUUAAAGAUAAAUGUUCACAGUUUUAGUUCUUGACACAAAUGGACUGAAAGAGGUGAAUUUACAUCUGGCAGAACAGCAGAAGGACCAAUUUUAAGUUACAAGCUGUGUUGAAAAUCACUCUAGGUGCCAUUUGGGAAUGCUCUAGAGCAGGAAAAGGGAAAAAUCCAGCCAGCAAAAUCACCUGGGUGGCAUCUGGAGCAGCAGUUUGGAUGAAGGAAGGGUUGAGUUCCAGGGAAACUUUGCUCCACUUGUUUGUGUGUCAGCCAGGCUGUCCCUAAGGCUGGAAGGGCAGCACAUCCCACCUGACAGUGGGAGAGGGAAAAGGAACAGCCCCACUCUGAGAGCAGACUCAGGAGAGGAGAACCAAGGGAUUUUCCCACCCUCUGAUGGAAAAUCUGCCUCCUCCUCCUGCCCGGGGCUGGAAAUCCAGGUGAGGGAACUGAUCCAUGAUACUCACAGUGGGUCACAACUGGAAUUCUCGUGGAAAACAGCUCAGGAAAAGCAAAGGCAGCUGCUAACACCCCAGCUGAGCAGGCUGGUAUUCCAUACUCCAAGGUCUCCAACACUUCCUGCCUGUCCUGUACAGUUUUUAUAAAAAUAGGGUGUUACCUUUAGUUUUCUACCUACGUACAGAACUACAAAUCUGUUCUAAGCUGGCCAAAGAGGAAAGCUUGAAAUAAAAUUAAGAGAUUUGUUCUUACUCUCCUAACAAAUGCUGAUAAAACCUAUAGGAAUUCCUCUUUAUGAGCCAGUCACUCAGCUCCUUUUGUGUAUUGAAGGGAUACACGGGGAUGAAAUUGAACCUAUGGUGGGAUUUUGAGGGGGGAGAAGGAAUUUCUUACAAUCAUUCCCUGGAAAAAAACAUUCCUUGGUGAUGUCCCAGGCAGAUCAUGAGCACUGCACUGAGCCAGAGCUGCAUUUGGAUGGAGAGGUGGAGUGUUGAGGUUGUGGGGUGAAUUUUUGGUGUCCCAUGCACAGAUUGCCACUGUCCCAGUGUCCAACCAUGAGCCACAACUCCCUCCUGAGCCAGCCCAGCUCCCUCCUGGGAACACCUGGAGCAGUGCUGGGAAUGCCUCAGGUACUGCUGCACCUGUGUGGCAACCCCACAUCCCACCUGGAAUCCACCUGGGCUUCCAGAGCCACAGCUGCCACCUUCCCCCCACUCCCAGCUCCAACAGCUCCCCCAGACUCAUGGAAUUCCAGCUCCAAGGAAAGGAAUUGCCCCAAUCUCACGUAAUCCCAGCUCCAAGGACAUGAAUUCCCUGCGUUUCAGGGUAUCCCAGCUCCAAGGACAGGAAUUUCCCCCAUUCUCAUGAAAUUCCAGCUCCAACAGCAGGAAUUCCCUCUAUUUCAGGGCAUCCCAGCUGCAACAACGGAAUUCCCUCGAUCUCAGGGUAUCCUCUCAAACAAAAAGCAAAGGUACUUAAAAAACUCUUUUUUUUUGCCAAAAAUGCAUCUUGUUCUGUUGAAGGGAAGGAAGAGGAAAUGAAGGUCCAAAGGGGGAGUGCAAGGUGGGAUACAAGAAUUUUAAAAACCUGGUUUUCAGACCAGUUACCCAUUGCUGGAACCAUACACAGGUAUUGAGUCAUAAACCAAUGUGCUUUGAACCUUGAUUUCAAGUAUCUGCUUUAAAUUUUCAAGAAAGAUUUUGUGUAAACAAACUACCCAACAGAGAUGAAGAAAUUUCUGGUUUUCCAUGUUGGAAGUGAAGCAUUAAAACUUAAGUACUCCAGGAGUUCAUUCCAUACAGCACUAACAGUCUGCCAAAUUAAUAUUCCACAGAUUCCAUGGGCUGAGAAAAAUCUGCCAAAGAGGAAUUAAAGAAACUGAAGUAGUGUGCAAUAAUUAAAACCUAAUUUGGAGUUUGGGGGAGGAAUGGGGAAAAGUCUAAAAUCCUGAUUUUAAAUUAAAAAAAAAAAAAAAAGAACACAAAUGAAGGGAAAGCUUUUAACUGGUACACACUGUUCACACCUAUAUUUCAAGUUUGGAAACGCAUAUUUUCAAGCAGCAAUACAAAAAAGUAUCCAUGAAGAAUGCAUAAUCUCUGAAAAAAUUAUGAAAACAUCCCUGCUACCAUUACAUUUCUAAAUACAAAACUUGACUACCAUAUUGUUGCUUCUGUGUAGCGAGAGAAGUUCAUUUUCAAAACAGAUAAAAUUCAGUCUUUAGGUGUGAAUGGUAUGAAUGACAGUCUCUUUUUUUUUGUUUGUUUUUGUUUUGUUUUUUUUCAAUUUCUUAGUUGUUUUAGGAUCCUUAAGCAUGCAAGCC
RNAcentral lists this long non-coding RNA (2308 nucleotides) under Taeniopygia guttata (zebra finch). Its description in RNAcentral is "lncRNA (ENSTGUG00000022368.1)". The record is from RNAcentral. Lineage: Eukaryota; Metazoa; Chordata; Aves; Passeriformes; Estrildidae.